GACGAACGCUGGCGGCGUGCUUAACACAUGCAAGUCGAACGGAAAGGCCCUGCUUUUGUGGGGUGCUCGAGUGGCGAACGGGUGAGUAACACGUGGGUAACCUGCCCUUGACUUUGGAUAACUUCAGGAAACUGGGGCUAAUACCGGAUAGGAGCUCCUGCUGCAUGGUGGGGGUUGGAAAGUUUCGGCGGUUGGGGAUGGACUCGCGGCUUAUCAGCUUGUUGGUGGGGUAGUGGCUUACCAAGGCUUUGACGGGUAGCCGGCCUGAGAGGGUGACCGGCCACAUUGGGACUGAGAUACGGCCCAGACUCCUACGGGAGGCAGCAGUGGGGAAUAUUGCACAAUGGGCGGAAGCCUGAUGCAGCAACGCCGCGUGCGGGAUGACGGCCUUCGGGUUGUAAACCGCUUUCGCCUGUGACGAAGCGUGAGUGACGGUAAUGGGUAAAGAAGCACCGGCUAACUACGUG
Molecule: ribosomal RNA, 467 nt
Filed under: uncultured bacterium
Lineage: Bacteria
Description: partial 16S ribosomal RNA
Rfam family: Bacterial small subunit ribosomal RNA
Source: RNAcentral